This 469-nucleotide ribosomal RNA is filed under the name uncultured microorganism. Its description in RNAcentral is "bacterial SSU rRNA". It matches the Rfam family "Bacterial small subunit ribosomal RNA", at positions 9 to 524 of the family's 1533-position model. The record is from RNAcentral.
GAGUUUGAUCGUGGCUCAGAACGAACGCUGGCGGCAUGCCUAACGCAUGCAAGUCGAACGAACUCUUCGGAGUUAGUGGCGCACGGGUGCGUAACGCGUGGGAAUCUGCCCUUGGGUACGGAAUAACUCAGAGAAAUUUGUGCUAAUACCGUAUAAUGACUUCGGUCCAAAGGUUUAUCGCCCAAGGAUGAGCCCGCGUAAGAUUAGCUAGUUGGUGGGGUAAAGGCCUACCAAGGCUACGAUCUUUAGCUGGUCUGAGAGGAUGAUCAGCCACACUGGGACUGAGACACGGCCCAGACUCCUACGGGAGGCAGCAGUGGGGAAUAUUGGACAAUGGGCGAAAGCCUGAUCCAGCAAUGCCGCGUGAGUGAUGAAGGCCUUAGGGUUGUAAAGCUCUUUUACCCGGGAUGAUAAUGACAGUACCGGGAGAAUAAGCUCCGGCUAACUCCGUGCCAGCCGCCGCCGUAAU